This 301-nucleotide transfer-messenger RNA is filed under the name Candidatus Pelagibacter communis. It matches the Rfam family "Alphaproteobacteria transfer-messenger RNA". Rfam says of the family: Bacterial tmRNA, also known as 10Sa RNA or SsrA, is named for its dual tRNA and mRNA-like properties. Its role is to liberate the mRNA from a stalled ribosome. Lineage: Bacteria; Pseudomonadati; Pseudomonadota; Alphaproteobacteria; Candidatus Pelagibacterales; Candidatus Pelagibacteraceae. The record is from RNAcentral.
UUACUUGUAUUGGUAGUGUUAUGUUAUUAUAUUAUUAGUGUUGGCUUGCCAACUACGACGAUAAACGAAUUUCGUAAUAACCAUUACGGACGUGGGGGCAGUACCCACCACCUCCACCAUUAUAUUAACGGGGGUGAAAUAGGAUCGACGGGUGACUAAAGGCUAUUCUUUCGUUCGGGAUUGUUCCACCGUAACGGGCUAAACUUUAAAUGCUGACGAAAGUUACGCACUUGCUGCAUAAUUAACUUAGGUUAAUUAUAGAAGCACGGUCUGGGGCACCGGGUAACAGAACGCCCCUACU